CCAAGUGCCCAGGAAUCCCAGAGAAGGUUCCCUGGCAAGAGUCCAAGGCACCAACUUCAGUUUCUCUUCCACCACCAGGGGAUGUGGAUUGCCUUGGAGAUCAAAGAGAAAGUCCGGAAAUAGCUGGGAGGAGGAGAGGUCCUGACAUGACAAAUCUAGACUAUGCCUGGCCCUUCCAAAGCAGAGCUAACAGGACAGGGAGCCCAGCUGAAGAUGGACCUGACACAGAACCCUAGAGAUCUAGGCGAAUGGAGGGGAAAGCACAAGCAGUGCACGUCAGGUUUGGAAAUCAACUGAAGAACCUCAGGACCUGGUAAUUCAUCAGAGAGGAAAAGAGAUCCAACACAAACUGGCUUCAGAAUCGAGAUGCAAUGGAAUAUCGACCAGUGCAGCCUACAGUCGCUGGUAAUUGGCCAAACUGCGAAUAUCAGAUGAACCUGCAAAUAAUUCCAGACCAUUUAUAUGUAAGGUUGCUUCCACAACUGUCCACAGCAAACCUGUAGAAGCGUCCACGCAAGUCACAGCCUAGCUAAAAGACUCACAUCCGUCUCCACAACGAAGUCCAGAGUGGGUCUGAGUAUCGCCUUACUAUUCCAGGCACUCAUGUGGAGU
Non-coding RNA from Pelobates cultripes (western spadefoot toad), 612 nucleotides. The record is from the annotation of a GenBank genome assembly. NCBI's taxonomy places the organism in Eukaryota, Metazoa, Chordata, Amphibia, Anura, Pelobatidae.